UACGGAGGAUGCAAGCGUUAUCCGGAUUUAUUGGGUUUAAAGGGUGCGUAGGCGGAUAUGUAAGUCAGCGGUGAAACUCACAGGCUCAACCUGUGCCGUGCCGUUGAAACUGUGUAUCUGGAAUGCGGAUGCUGUGGGAGGAAUGUGUAGUGUAGCGGUGAAAUGCAUAGAUAUUACACAGAACACCGAUUGCGAAGGCAUCUCACAAAGCCAAGAUUGACGCUGAGGCACGAAAGUGUGGGGAU
Molecule: ribosomal RNA, 245 nt
Filed under: uncultured prokaryote
Description: partial 16S ribosomal RNA
Rfam family: Bacterial small subunit ribosomal RNA
Source: RNAcentral